Molecule: ribosomal RNA, 362 nt
Filed under: Deinagkistrodon acutus (Chinese moccasin)
Lineage: Eukaryota; Metazoa; Chordata; Lepidosauria; Squamata; Viperidae
Description: partial 12S ribosomal RNA
Source: RNAcentral
GCCUAGCCGUAACACACUAUAAACGUUCGCCAACCACUACGAGUGAUAACUUAAAACUUAAAAGACUUGACGGUACUUCAUCCAGCCUAGAGGAGCCUGUCUAAUAACCGACAACCCACGAUUAACCCGACCCUUUCUUGCCAACAGUCUAUAUACCGCCGUCGUCAGCCUACCUUGUAAAAGCAAUAAAGUAGGCUCAAUAGCACCACACUAAAACGACAGGUCGAGGUGUAACCCAUGAAAAGGACUAAGAUGGACUACAUUCUCAAGCCGAGAACACGGAUAAUACUAUGAAAAUAGCAUUUGAAGGCGGAUUUAGUAGUAAGAUAAGAAUAAAAUACCUAACUGAACAUAACGCAAUG